UGGGGAAUAUUGCACAAUGGGCGCAAGCCUGAUGCAGCCAUGCCGCGUGUGUGAAGAAGGCCUUCGGGUUGUAAAGCACUUUCAGCGAGGAGGAAGGUGGUGAGCUUAAUACGCUCAUCAAUUGACGUUACUCGCAGAAGAAGCACCGGCUAACUCCGUGCCAGCAGCCGCGGUAAUACGGAGGGUGCAAGCGUUAAUCGGAAUUACUGGGCGUAAAGCGCACGCAGGCGGUUUGUUAAGUCAGAUGUGAAAUCCCCGGGCUCAACCUGGGAACUGCAUUUGAAACUGGCAAGCUAGAGUCUCGUAGAGGGGGGUAGAAUUCCAGGUGUAGCGGUGAAAUGCGUAGAGAUCUGGAGGAAUACCGGUGGCGAAGGCGGCCCCCUGGACGAAGACUGACGCUCA
Molecule: ribosomal RNA, 402 nt
Filed under: uncultured bacterium
Lineage: Bacteria
Description: partial 16S ribosomal RNA
Rfam family: Bacterial small subunit ribosomal RNA
Source: RNAcentral